CUCAGGUCACUGUUGGCCUCCAAGGAUCAACUGAGAAUAAAGCCCAAGUUCUCCAGCCUGGCAUUCAAGGCUCUUCACACUCAGACUCCAGCCUAUUUCUCUGGCCCCACUACAGGCACUUCACAUAAUCUGCACAGAGACUCUAUAACAGUCUCUCAUCAUCAUCUCCAUUUGCCCAACAUCACACAGCUGGCAAGUGGAGCUGGAAUAUGGACCCAGGUCCCCUGGAUGCCAUCCUGCUGUGUCAUGAGCGAUAAGCACAGACUGCUGGAACACAGUCCAUUCACCAAAACUGUGCCUUCCAAACAGUAAGGGUGUCAAUAAUGGGUGGAGGGGAAAGUGUGAAGAGGAACCAGGGCAAGGAACUUGGAAGGUGAGGAUUGCG
Molecule: long non-coding RNA, 385 nt
Filed under: Homo sapiens (human)
Lineage: Eukaryota; Metazoa; Chordata; Mammalia; Primates; Hominidae
Description: non-protein coding lnc-UBAP1L-1:1
Source: RNAcentral